UACGGGGGGGGGUAAGCGUUGUUCGGAAUUACUGGGCGUAAAGGGCUCGUAGGCGGCCAACUAAGUCAGACGUGAAAUCCCCUCAGCUUAACUGGGGAACUGCGUCUGAUACUGGAUGGCUUGGAUUUGGGAGAGGAAUGCGGAAUUCCAGGUGUAGCGGUGAAAUGCGUAGAUAUCUGGAGGAACACCGGUGGCGAAGGCGGCAUUCUGGACCAAUAUUGACGCUGAGGAGCGAAAGCCAGGGGAGCAAACGGG
This 255-nucleotide ribosomal RNA is filed under the name uncultured bacterium. RNAcentral's name for it is "partial 16S ribosomal RNA". It matches the Rfam family "Bacterial small subunit ribosomal RNA", at positions 524 to 776 of the family's 1533-position model. The record is from RNAcentral.